Molecule: long non-coding RNA, 473 nt
Filed under: Homo sapiens (human)
Lineage: Eukaryota; Metazoa; Chordata; Mammalia; Primates; Hominidae
Description: non-protein coding lnc-ERN2-1:1
Source: RNAcentral
CAGCCUCCACGGAGCUUACACUGUGGUUGUAGGGGCAAAGACUAAUCAAUUUAAGUAUGGGCAAAAUAUCAGUGACUUCUAUCAUGGUAAGAGUCAGAGGCAUCUAGUUUUCCAGUUUGGAGUAAUUAAGAAACUGUGAAGACAGAAGCCAGUUGCAAACACAUCAAAAUGUUACGUUCAGUGCAUGCAACAAACCCCUUAAUUUAAAUCCAAUAAACAAAGAAGGACAUGUUGGACUAUGUUGGGUGAGAACCGUGGCCUCUGACCCAACGGUGUGGCCCUGCAGGAUGACCUGCCACUCAGGCAAACAGCUUGAAGGCACCAGCAGCUCAGAGCUGCCCAGCUUUGAGCAAAGAAUGGAAAGCAUCUUCAGCAUCCAGGCAGAUGGAAGGGCUGAGUAGUUCAGUUCAUCCACAGAAUGGAUUCAGUAGGCAUUUAAAUAAAAACACAAGAAAUUUUUUUCCACCCCAAAA